Molecule: transfer RNA, 69 nt
Filed under: Halosimplex pelagicum
Lineage: Archaea; Methanobacteriati; Methanobacteriota; Halobacteria; Halobacteriales; Haloarculaceae
Description: tRNA-Glu
Rfam family: tRNA
About the family: Transfer RNA (tRNA) molecules are approximately 80 nucleotides in length. Their secondary structure includes four short double-helical elements and three loops (D, anti-codon, and T loops). Further hydrogen bonds mediate the characteristic L-shaped molecular structure. tRNAs have two regions of fundamental functional importance: the anti-codon, which is responsible for specific mRNA codon recognition, and the 3' end, to which the tRNAs corresponding amino acid is attached (by aminoacyl-tRNA synthetases). tRNAs cope with the degeneracy of the genetic code in two manners: having more than one tRNA (with a specific anti-codon) for a particular amino acid; and 'wobble' base-pairing, i.e. permitting non-standard base-pairing at the 3rd anti-codon position.
Source: RNAcentral
GGACCUGUAACUCAGUGGCCAGAGGACCGCUUUCAGCGGUCGUCGCCAGUUCGAAUCUGGCCAGGUCCA